RNAcentral lists this ribosomal RNA (460 nucleotides) under uncultured bacterium. RNAcentral's name for it is "partial 16S ribosomal RNA". It matches the Rfam family "Bacterial small subunit ribosomal RNA", at positions 338 to 795 of the family's 1533-position model. The record is from RNAcentral.
CCUACGGGUGGCAGCAGUGAGGAAUAUUGGGCAAUGGACGAGAGUCUGAACCAGCAAAGUAGCGUGAAGGAUGACUGCCCUAUGGGUUGUAAACUUCUUUUAUAUGGGAAUAAAAUGUUCCACGUGUGGGAUUUUGUAUGUACCAUAUGAAUAAGGAUCGGCUAACUCCGUGCCAGCAGCCGCGGUAAUACGGAGGAUCCGAGCGUUAUCCGGAUUGAUUGGGUUUAAAGGGAGCGUAGGUGGAUUGUUAAGUAAGUUGUGAAAGUUUGCGGCUCAACCGUAAAAUUGCAGUUGAAACUGGUAGUCGUGAGUACAGUAGAGGUGAGCGGAAUUCGUGGUGUAGCGGUGAAAUGCUUAGAUAUCACGAAGAACUCCGAUUGCGAAGGCAGCUCACUGGACUGCAACUGACACUGAGGCUCGAAAGUGUGGGUAUCAAACAGGAUUAGAUACCCGGGUAGUC